RNAcentral lists this ribosomal RNA (451 nucleotides) under uncultured bacterium. Its description in RNAcentral is "bacterial SSU rRNA". It matches the Rfam family "Bacterial small subunit ribosomal RNA", at positions 29 to 523 of the family's 1533-position model. The record is from RNAcentral.
AACGAACGCUGGCGGCAGGCCUAACACAUGCAAGUCGAACGCCCGUAGCAAUACGGGAGUGGCAGACGGGUGAGUAACGCGUGGGAACGUGCCCUUCGGUUCGGAAUAACUCAGGGAAACUUGAGCUAAUACCGGAUACGUCCGUAAGGAGAAAGAUUUAUCGCCGAAGGAUCGGCCCGCGUCGGAUUAGCUAGUUGGUGAGGUAACGGCCCACCAAGGCGACGAUCCGUAGCUGGUCUGAGAGGAUGAUCAGCCACACUGGGACUGAGACACGGCCCAGACUCCUACGGGAGGCAGCAGUGGGGAAUAUUGGACAAUGGGCGAAAGCCUGAUCCAGCCAUGCCGCGUGAGUGAAGAAGGCCUUAGGGUUGUAAAGCUCUUUCAGCGGGGAAGAUAAUGACGGUACCCGCAGAAGAAGCCCCGGCUAACUUCGUGCCAGCCGCCGCCGUAA